Long non-coding RNA from Drosophila sechellia, 594 nucleotides. RefSeq lists it as uncharacterized. Lineage: Eukaryota; Metazoa; Arthropoda; Insecta; Diptera; Drosophilidae. The transcript has 3 exons. The record is from RefSeq and is a predicted model, not a curated record.
CGCGUUUUACAGCUGUUUCACAGUUGUGCAGCCAUUGCAAGACUAGGCAUGUUACACGAUUUGAGAGUCAUUGGAGUUUCAGGAUCUUCAGUAUUUAGAGUUUUAUGUUCACUGUUUUUAUUUAAAGGGAUGGAGUCGUUCAAAUCGUGAUUUACUCUUAUAAUAUUUAAACAUUUAUGGUUCACAUUUGGCUACGAACUGGACUGGAGAACUGUUAUGCUCUUAAAUCUUGCAAAAUGCCAUAAAAUACCCAAGCAAGGAAAUGCUGCCAAACCGGCUGACUAAGCUGGCCAAAAAUAAUAUAAAACAUUUGUUGUUCUUGCUCGCCGGCCAUUUGCAUAACAGAAACAAUAAAAACAGCAACCUCAAAGAUUAAAAACCGAAUGAAACGAAAUUUAUAAAUUGAUUUCGAGCGCGACUAAAAAUAAAGCCAAAAGUUAAAAGCCAUGAGCCGAGUGACGGGGAAAAGCUGUGGGGAUUGAAAUCAGGAUUUUUGGAAUGAGCAAAUACUGCAGUUUCGGUUCUGGAGCAAAAAAGGUAAGCGGCAAAAGUUAUUCACAACUUGGGGUGACAAUGAAUUUUUAUACAAGUAAG